Long non-coding RNA from Chelonoidis abingdonii (Abingdon island giant tortoise), 1134 nucleotides. RefSeq lists it as uncharacterized. Lineage: Eukaryota; Metazoa; Chordata; Testudines; Testudinidae. The record is from RefSeq and is a predicted model, not a curated record.
UCUCUGGGCAAACACACAAGAGGGAUGAUAGGAAACAGUUUCUACAGCAGAUCUCUCUCUGGGCUGCGAGAAAUGGACAUGACUUCAUCCCUCCCCCCAACCCCAGCCCACCCCACCAGACCCUCCUGGAAUAUCUGCUGGGAUGCUCAAGGUGCCUCCACAACUCCAAGUAUAUAGCACAAUUCGAUUUGAGAUCUGCCGGAAAGAAGAAUGAGGAACAUGAAGAAGUCUUCAGUCCCCCAAUGGAUUGGAAGAAGGAAGAUGUGCAAUGUCCAACAUGAUGUUCUGAUUGUCUAGUUGGCGCAUGGAGGUGUCAGAAGAGGCUGGUGGAAAAUGCAAUGAGGAACUGACAAGAAAGAAUGCAAAGGAAGAAAGAUCUAGCUCUAACGAUCCAGCACGUUGCAAUGAAAAACCUGUUCUUUUGUGUGUAGGAAGGUCAGUAAACUUUGAAUCACCUUCUGUAUCUAUUCCUGGAGUUCUCCAGGAUGUACAAAGAGGCAGGCUUGCCGCUGCCUCCUUCAAAAAAAUACAGCACAGAGAGAGGGGGAAAUUGCCAUAAAUUUCCAUUAUUUAUACAAGAAGAUGAAGCGUAUGGCUGGCCAAAAGGCACACAGUAAUGCAUUUUGCAUAGUGCCAUAAUCUCCCCUUUGUGUUUCGAAAGCUAUCCAUUGCAAUCUGCCCUCCCUUCGGUGCACUUUGUCAAUUUGCCUUUUAAUUUAUUUAUUUUGUGUUCGAAAGUUAGAAUGACAAAAUACGAAAUAGUCUGAGCUCCAUCAGGUACGUCUGAUAUCUUUUUUUAUGGCCCCCUCUGCGUUUUAUUGUUCAUAGCAGCUCCGAGGAAUGUGCCUUGGCAAAGCAUAAACGUAUUUGUACGUUCCUCCUUCUCUACAGGAUGUGAUUUAGAAAUAAUAAAAUCUCUGGGUUUCAUGGAGAGCUUUGUAAUAUUUGGUGGGUGUCCCCCCCCCCCCGACUCAACUUCAUGUGAAUAUGUCAGAAUCCCAGCUUUAAUUUUUUUUUAAUUUGAUUUUAUAAUUUAAAAUGGCAUAGCUAGCCCUAGUCGUUGCAGAGAAAAGCUUGAAAACGCAACACAAGCUCGAAGGCUCAAAAACAGAAGGCAAAUAAAAAGAACCCAGA